Molecule: long non-coding RNA, 497 nt
Organism: Anguilla anguilla (European eel)
Lineage: Eukaryota; Metazoa; Chordata; Actinopteri; Anguilliformes; Anguillidae
Exons: 3
Source: RefSeq, a predicted model, not a curated record
CAUACAAAAGACAAGACUGAUUAACCAUCUGUAUCCACUGUACAUAAUUCACUGUACUUAUCUGAAGAUAGAAGUCAUGGAAUAGCCACGGACAAAACUUAAUGGAAAUUAACGCAGCUGUACGACAGACAUGCAGUAUUCCACUGCAUCGCAGCGAUGUAGGAAGCCUGGCCAGUGUAAUAGGCAGAUCACAUCAGCUUGGAGUGACUCAACUCAACCACCGCUUAAUUUUAGAAGCCAUUUUGUAUAAUGCGCAACAGACAUUUUUGUGCCUGUGCCCUCCACCACAAGACCUGUAAGUGACCUGUGCAGAUGAAUGGCUGAAUCAGCGAGGGGAACUGGGCCGGGCUGCUGCUGUGCUGGAGUCUGUGGGGUGAUGGCUUUUCCAAAAACCCCACCGAUGACGGACGAAGGGUCUCCAGUGGACCCCAGGCUUUCAGGAAAACAACAAUGAAGAUUCCCUCCCGAUGAGCGCUCUGGCACGUCUCUGAGGCCAC